GGCGUCGGAUAAACGAUGAAGUUGCCUGUGCUGGAGACAAAGAACGAGAAGGAUUUGAUCUGACGACUACUGGGGAUACUCUGUUCGAAUGUGAAUGUGGCUUCAAGUCGUGGAAUGGGAACCGAACAGCAUCACAUUAUCACAAAUG
This 148-nucleotide small RNA is filed under the name Caenorhabditis elegans. RNAcentral's name for it is "Unclassified non-coding RNA F37D6.13". The record is from RNAcentral. Lineage: Eukaryota; Metazoa; Nematoda; Chromadorea; Rhabditida; Rhabditidae.